Molecule: long non-coding RNA, 1642 nt
Filed under: Manihot esculenta (cassava)
Lineage: Eukaryota; Viridiplantae; Streptophyta; Magnoliopsida; Malpighiales; Euphorbiaceae
Description: long non-coding RNA (MESC_LNC008099)
Source: RNAcentral
UGUCUUUUAACCAGAAAAACAGACCAAAGGGUAAGUUGAAAAUGGCCUUUCACCGGCCUUUCCUUCCAAAUACCAACAAACAACUCUCUCACACUCACUGCACAGAAAAAAAUGCCUUGUGACUCUUUCCUAGUUAUCCCCUUUGAUGGGAUGGGCCCCUUCUUUAUAACCCCUUCUUCUCUUUCCUUCCUCUAUCCUCUCUUCUCUCUUUCCAUUCCCUCCUGUGUCACAGACAAUGGAGGGAAAGGGAAAGGGAAACAUUAGAAAGAAAGAAUGACUGGUGGGGUUGCCCUUAAAAAACCACAAUAUAUCAGAAAUGGCUCAAGAGGACAACCACUUCUCAUCUCUUUCAACCACCCAUUUGGGCCAUUCUGUUCUUCCCUACAUGAUAUGUCAAUUCUGCCCUUUCCACUGUGUGUUUCCCUACAAAAAAUCCCUUUGAAAAUCAGAGGUCAUUUUAGUGGAAAUUGCAUUAAAGCGUGUGUUUGGAACAGCACUACUACAAUGUAACUCUCCUUUUAUCUCUCUCUCUCUCUCUUUUCUCUCUCAAACCCAACAGCAACAACAACAGCAAACUUCCUUCUUAGGAUAUAAAAAAGGCAGACAGGAUGGAGCCAGGCAAUUGUAGCUAUACUUUUCUACUUAAUUUUACUUUCUUUCUUGUUAUAGCUUAUUUUUUCUGGUUAUAUCUCAUAAUUUCUUGAGAUAUAUAGAGAUUCAAGACAGGAAAAAAACCCAACUAUCAUCAUCAUCAUCAUCAUUCACUCAUAGGUAAAGUUUCAUACAGCUUCUGAAGAUUCUUAAUAUUCUGUAUGUAUUACCUGAAAUUUUUUAGUUCUUGAGCUUAUAUUUUAUAUAUUUUAAUGAUCUUGAUGACAGUGCAUGGUGCUUCCCAUUUUUAUAUUUUUCAUGUCACAGAUCUCUAUUUUCUUGUGGUGUUGAUUUGAUUUUCUUAUCCAUCCAUCUUUAUCACUUCUUGCUAGCUAUGUUGGUUUCCAGAUCAAUUUGUUCAUGAGAUUGCACUUUGCUUUAUUAUCCUAUCCCUCCUGUGAUCCUGUACUAGAUCUUUAAAAUCACUUGGCCGGCCCUUCUCCGGCCGGCAAGUUUUGGUUUAAUGCUUUUACAAGUAUAUUUCGACAUAACCCAUGUGCAAGCUUAAAUCUUGCACCAGUGGCUGUCGUGUCUGAAUUUUGAGUUGUGGAUGGGUUAAUUUCUGUAAUCUGAAGACAUAUUCAUUAAUUAAUUAUUGUGAGCAGAUGGAUUAACAUAUGAACUAGUCUUGUUCUUGCUAUCUUUGUUUUUCCCAUUUGGCAAGCAUCAUUGGUUAAUUGAAAACCUGACAUGUCCAACAAAAAUAAACCCUCGUGAAGAAAUCUAACCAGCAAUCAUGAUGACUCCAAGUUGGAAGUUGUUGUUUUGCUGUUUUUGUCUUUCUGCAUAAUUGAUCAGCAAUGUCUAGCUUCAUCAUUAAUGCGACCCCCACCCCCUAAAUAAUUCAUCUUCAUAGAUUCGGUUUUGAAGUUUAUUAUGAAAAAUUUAUGCUUUAUGGUCGGUUUAGAUGCUUUUCUUGAAUCAGAUUAGUUGUUUACAUGUCUUUGAAAUGAUGUUUAAUGCAAAUAUUAUUAAUACUUGAAAACUGGGA